This 408-nucleotide long non-coding RNA is filed under the name Monodelphis domestica (gray short-tailed opossum). RNAcentral describes it as "lncRNA (ENSMODG00000033778.2)". The record is from RNAcentral. Lineage: Eukaryota; Metazoa; Chordata; Mammalia; Didelphimorphia; Didelphidae.
GGGAAAAUGUGUUUGCUUAAACACUCUGGGCUAUAUUGAAUCCUUAAUGAAAUCAAUAGUUCUGUGCAGAGAUCAAAGAUGAAUGAGAGUCCUGCCUACAUGUUUAAGUUUGAAACUUUUUUGGCUAGAGCAUGGGAUUUGCUGAACUACAUGGUCUUAUCAAGCUUGUGCAGCUGGCUGGAUCUGUGCUUCACUGCUGCUGGUAAAGUGCCAGCUACGAUAACACUUUAAUUGGGGAGGGGGUAUUAACAAAGAUAACAUACCUCCAUGGAAAUAAUGUUUAUAAUGUUUAUUUCAUCACUGGUAGCACUGAAAAUCAUCCAUUCUAAUCCCAAACUGUAAAAAGAGGGAGGGAAAUGUGAUUUCCUGAAGUUCAUUUUCUUGAAUAAAAAUGCAAAACAAGGAUCA